Molecule: transfer RNA, 106 nt
Filed under: Sclerotinia nivalis
Lineage: Eukaryota; Fungi; Ascomycota; Leotiomycetes; Helotiales; Sclerotiniaceae
Rfam family: tRNA
About the family: Transfer RNA (tRNA) molecules are approximately 80 nucleotides in length. Their secondary structure includes four short double-helical elements and three loops (D, anti-codon, and T loops). Further hydrogen bonds mediate the characteristic L-shaped molecular structure. tRNAs have two regions of fundamental functional importance: the anti-codon, which is responsible for specific mRNA codon recognition, and the 3' end, to which the tRNAs corresponding amino acid is attached (by aminoacyl-tRNA synthetases). tRNAs cope with the degeneracy of the genetic code in two manners: having more than one tRNA (with a specific anti-codon) for a particular amino acid; and 'wobble' base-pairing, i.e. permitting non-standard base-pairing at the 3rd anti-codon position.
Source: Rfam by way of RNAcentral
GCGUUUGUGGUUUAGUGGUAAAAUCCAUCGUUGCCAUCAAUCUCUCUUCACCAGAAGAAAGUUGAACAACGUCGAUGGGCCCCGGGUUCGAUUCCCGGCGAACGCA